CCUACGGGAGACUGCAGUGAGGAAUAUUGGUCAAUGGUCGGGAGACUGAACCAGCCAAGCCGCGUGAGGGAUGAAGGUACAGAGUAUCGUAAACCUCUUUUGUCAGGGAACAAAGGCGGGGACGUGUCCCCGGAUGAGUGUACCUGAAGAAAAAGCAUCGGCUAACUCCGUGCCAGCAGCCGCGGUAAUACGGGGGAUGCGAGCGUUAUCCGGAUUUAUGGGGUUUAAGGGGUGCGCAGGCGGUCUGUUAAGUCAGCGGUCAAAGCCCGGGGCACAACCCGGGCCCGCCGUUGAAACUGGCAGUCUCGAGUUGGAGAGAAGUAUGCGGAAUGCGCGGUGUAGCGGUGAAAUGCAUAGAUAUCGCGCAGAACUCCGAUUGCGAAGGCAGCAUGCCGGCUCCACACUGACGCUGAGGCACGAAAGCGUGGGUAUCGAACAGGAUUAGAUACCCGUGUAGUC
RNAcentral lists this ribosomal RNA (459 nucleotides) under uncultured bacterium. Its description in RNAcentral is "partial 16S ribosomal RNA". It matches the Rfam family "Bacterial small subunit ribosomal RNA", at positions 338 to 795 of the family's 1533-position model. The record is from RNAcentral.